UAUCCCCGGCAGCAGCUGCACAGUCAUGCUCUUUCCUCUUCACUAAAAACCUCUGAAAACGACAUUAAUCGUCGUUUGAUUUGAUACCUUUAAGAUACAUUAAGUUCUUCAAAGUUCAUCUGAGGUCACGCGGAUCAAAGACAGAACAGAAUGUCGCGCGGUUCGAACGCAGGCUUUGACCGACACAUCACCAUAUUCUCACCGGAGGGCCGCCUUUACCAAGUCGAGUAUGCCUUCAAAGCCAUCUCUCAGAGCGGGUUGACGUCUGUAGGGGUCCGGGGGACAGACAGCGUUGUGGUGGUCACACAGAAGAAAGUACCUGACAAGCUGCUGGACUCUUCCACUGUGACCAACAUGUUCAAACUAACUCCUCG
Molecule: long non-coding RNA, 374 nt
Organism: Lates calcarifer (barramundi perch)
Lineage: Eukaryota; Metazoa; Chordata; Actinopteri; Centropomidae
Exons: 3
Source: RefSeq, a predicted model, not a curated record